GCGGGGCUGGGGCUCAGUGGUAGAGCGCUUGCCUGGCACGUGUGAGGCCCUGGGUUCCAUCCUCAGCACCGCA
RNAcentral lists this transfer RNA (73 nucleotides) under Marmota monax (woodchuck). RNAcentral describes it as "tRNA.Ala". Lineage: Eukaryota; Metazoa; Chordata; Mammalia; Rodentia; Sciuridae. The record is from RNAcentral.